CACUAGCUCCCUCCCUCCAAUAUUGGAGGAACAAGAUAUCAAAGACGAUGUUUUUAGAGUGGACUAUGGUCUUAUGUGAUAAAGAAGGUCAAGGAGAAAAAUUAUUUGAUGUAUGGGAACCAUAUGUGUGGAACAUGCCUGUUUUACUCUUGUGUAUGAUAUACUUAAAAACAGUUUUAAAAAAUAUAUAUAUAUAUACCGUGCUAAUGACCAUCAAUUUAAUAUGUAGGUUGGAACACAAUCAUUAACUGAAGCAAAAACAGCUAUGUAGGAGGAAUUAAACUGGAUGAUGAACAGCCAAACUCACUAAAAAGGAGAGUUUGCUUAAGACAGUUUAAUCCC
Molecule: long non-coding RNA, 342 nt
Organism: Spea bombifrons (plains spadefoot toad)
Lineage: Eukaryota; Metazoa; Chordata; Amphibia; Anura; Pelobatidae
Exons: 2
Source: RefSeq, a predicted model, not a curated record